RNAcentral lists this ribosomal RNA (253 nucleotides) under uncultured bacterium. RNAcentral's name for it is "partial 16S ribosomal RNA". It matches the Rfam family "Bacterial small subunit ribosomal RNA", at positions 524 to 776 of the family's 1533-position model. The record is from RNAcentral.
UACGGGGGGGGGCAAGCGUUGUUCGGAAUUACUGGGCGUAAAGGGCUCGUAGGCGGCCAACUAAGUCAGACGUGAAAUCCCCAGCUUAACCUGGGAACUGCGUCUGAUACUGGAUGGCUUGAAUUCGGGAGAGGGAUGCAGAAUUCCAGGUGUAGCGGUGAAAUGCGUAGAUAUCUGGAGGAAUACCGGUGGCGAAGGCGGCAUCCUGGACCGACAUUGACGCUGAGGAGCGAAAGCGUGGGGAGCAAACAGG